AUCGCUUCUCGGCCUUUUGGCUAAGGUCAAGUGUAGUGUCUGCACUCUUUUCUACAGUCUCAAUCUUUUUUAUAGUAUGGUGACCAAAACUGGAUGCAGUAUUCCAGAUGUAGUCUUACUUAGGCUUUAUAGAGUGAUAUUAA
RNAcentral lists this small nuclear RNA (143 nucleotides) under Naja naja (Indian cobra). RNAcentral's name for it is "U2 spliceosomal RNA (ENSNNAG00000007475.1)". The stretch from base 1 to 118 matches the Rfam family "U2 spliceosomal RNA". From Rfam's summary of the family: U2 is a small nuclear RNA (snRNA) component of the spliceosome (involved in pre-mRNA splicing). Complementary binding between U2 snRNA (in an area lying towards the 5' end but 3' to hairpin I) and the branchpoint sequence (BPS) of the intron results the bulging out of an unpaired adenosine, on the BPS, which initiates a nucleophilic attack at the intronic 5' splice site, thus starting the first of two transesterification reactions that mediate splicing. Lineage: Eukaryota; Metazoa; Chordata; Lepidosauria; Squamata; Elapidae. The record is from RNAcentral.